RNAcentral lists this ribosomal RNA (253 nucleotides) under uncultured bacterium. RNAcentral's name for it is "partial 16S ribosomal RNA". It matches the Rfam family "Bacterial small subunit ribosomal RNA", at positions 524 to 776 of the family's 1533-position model. The record is from RNAcentral.
UACGAACUGUGCAAACGUUAUUCGGAAUCACUGGGCUUAAAGGGUGCGUAGGCGGUUUGUUAAGUAGGGUGUGAAAGCCCCCGGCUCAACCGGGGAAUUGCGCCCUAAACUGGCGGACUAGAGUGAGAUAGGGGUGUGCGGAACUUCCGGUGGAGCGGUGAAAUGUGUUGAUAUCGGAAGGAACGCCGGUGGCGAAAGCGGCACACUGGGUCUUAACUGACGCUGAGGCACGAAAGCCAGGGGAGCAAACGGG